This 275-nucleotide ribosomal RNA is filed under the name uncultured bacterium. Its description in RNAcentral is "partial 16S ribosomal RNA". It matches the Rfam family "Bacterial small subunit ribosomal RNA", at positions 523 to 796 of the family's 1533-position model. The record is from RNAcentral.
AGACGGAGGGCGCAAGCGUUGUUCGGAAUUACUGGGCGUAAAGGGCAGGUAGGUGGUCUGUUAAGUCUUCUGUGAAAAUCCGGGGCUCAACCCCGCGAAAUGCAGGUGAAACUGGCAGACUGGAGACCGGUAGAGGCUAGCGGAAUUCCUGGUGUAGCGGUGGAAUGCGUAGAUAUCAGGAAGAACACCUGUGGCGAAGGCGGCUAGCUGGGCCGGUUCUGACACUAAACUGCGAAAGCGUGGGGAGCAAACAGGAUUAGAAACCCGAGUAGUCC